RNAcentral lists this ribosomal RNA (461 nucleotides) under uncultured bacterium. RNAcentral's name for it is "partial 16S ribosomal RNA". It matches the Rfam family "Bacterial small subunit ribosomal RNA", at positions 28 to 523 of the family's 1533-position model. The record is from RNAcentral.
GAUGAACGCUGGCGGCGUGCCUAAUACAUGCAAGUCGAGCGGCAGCACGGUCUUCGGACUGGUGGCGAGCGGCGGACGGCUGAGUAACGCGUAGGAACGUACCCCAAAGUGAGGGAUAACUGCUCGAAAGAGUAGCUAAUACCGCAUGUGAUCUAAGGAUUAAAGCUUCGGCGCUUUGGGAACGGCCUGCGUCCGAUUAGCUAGUUGGUGAGGUAAAAGCUCACCAAGGCGACGAUCGGUAGCUGGUCUGAGAGGAUGAUCAGCCAGACUGGGACUGAGACACGGCCCAGACUCCUACGGGAGGCAGCAGUAGGGAAUUCUCCACAAUGGGCGAAAGCCUGAUGGAGCAACGCCGCGUGCAGGAUGAAUGCCUUCGGGUUGUAAACUGCUUUUAUAUGUGACGAAUAUGACGGUAGCAUAUGAAUAAGGAUCGGCUAACUCCGUGCCAGCAGCCGCGGUAA